GGGGAGAUGCCAGAGUGGUCGAAUGGGGUCGCCUGCUAAGUGACUGUGGGGCGUGAAUCGCUCCACCGUGGGUUCGAAUCCCACUCUCCCCGCCA
Molecule: transfer RNA, 95 nt
Filed under: Pseudomonadota bacterium
Lineage: Bacteria; Pseudomonadati; Pseudomonadota
Also listed under: 2 other names
Description: tRNA-Ser
Rfam family: tRNA
About the family: Transfer RNA (tRNA) molecules are approximately 80 nucleotides in length. Their secondary structure includes four short double-helical elements and three loops (D, anti-codon, and T loops).
Source: RNAcentral